This 27-nucleotide ribosomal RNA is filed under the name Catenaria sp. Poly Ad 2-0. RNAcentral describes it as "partial 28S ribosomal RNA". Lineage: Eukaryota; Fungi; Blastocladiomycota; Blastocladiomycetes; Blastocladiales; Catenariaceae. The record is from RNAcentral.
GACCUCAAUCAGCAAGCAAGGCUAGCU